AACAAUAACACCUCUUUAUCUCUCCCAUUUCCCCACCAGUUAAGGUGGGGUUAUUUUUUGU
RNAcentral lists this unclassified non-coding RNA (61 nucleotides) under Aliivibrio wodanis. RNAcentral's name for it is "small RNA sRNA2". Lineage: Bacteria; Pseudomonadati; Pseudomonadota; Gammaproteobacteria; Vibrionales; Vibrionaceae. The record is from RNAcentral.